AUACGGAGGGUGCAAGCGUUAAUCGGAUUUAUUGGGCGUAAAGGGGGCGUAGGCGGAGAUGUAAGUCAGAUGUGAAAUUCCGGAGCUCAACUUCGGAGCUGCGUCUGAAACUGCAUCCCUUGAGGGUAGACGGAGAGAACGGAAUUCCAAGUGUAGCGGUGAAAUGCGUAGAUAUUUGGAAGAACACCCGUGGCGAAAGCGGUUCUCUAGUUUACACCUGACGCUGAGGCCCGAAAGCGAGGGGAGCAAACAGGAUUAGAUACCCUGGUAGUCCACGCCGUAAACGAUGUCAACUAGCCGUUGGGACACUUGAUGUCUUAGUGGCGCAGCUAACGCGAUAAGUUGACCGCCUGGGGAGUACGGUCGCAAGAUUAAAACUCAAAUGAAUUGACGGGGCCCGCACAAGCGGUGGAGCAUGUGGUUUAAUUCGAAGCAACGCGAAGAACCUUACCUACACUUGACAUCCAGAGAACUUUCUAGAGAUAGAUUGGUGCCUUCGGGAACUCUGAGACAGGU
RNAcentral lists this ribosomal RNA (516 nucleotides) under uncultured Gammaproteobacteria bacterium. RNAcentral's name for it is "bacterial SSU rRNA". It matches the Rfam family "Bacterial small subunit ribosomal RNA", at positions 523 to 1039 of the family's 1533-position model. The record is from RNAcentral. Lineage: Bacteria; Pseudomonadati; Pseudomonadota; Gammaproteobacteria.